UACGUACUGGGCGAACGUUAUUCGGAAUUACUGGGCGUAAAGCGCGCGUAGGUGGUUUGUUAAGUUGGAUGUGAAAGCCCCGGGCUCAACCUGGGAACUGCAUUCAAAACUGACAAGCUAGAGUAUGGUAGAGGGUGGUGGAAUUUCCUGUGUAGCGGUGAAAUGCGUAGAUAUAGGAAGGAACACCAGUGGCGAAGGCGACCACCUGGACUGAUACUGACACUGAGGUGCGAAAGCGUGGGGAGCAAAC
Molecule: ribosomal RNA, 250 nt
Filed under: uncultured bacterium
Lineage: Bacteria
Description: partial 16S ribosomal RNA
Rfam family: Bacterial small subunit ribosomal RNA
Source: RNAcentral